CGCCUGUUUAACAAAAACAUCUUUUCUUGUUAGUUUUUGAAGUAUGGCCUGCCCACUGACUUUUUGUUGAAGGGCCGCGGUAUUUUGACCGUGCAAAGGUAGCAUAAUCAUUAGUUCUUUAAUUGUGAUCUGGUAUGAAUGGCUUGACGAGGCAUAUACUGUCUUAGAAGUAUUGUUUGUUGAAUUUAGUUUUUGAGUUAAAAUUCUUAGAUGUUUUUAUGGGACGAGAAGACCCUAUAGAGUUUAACAUUUAUUUUUAUUAAAAUUUGUUGUUUGUUUUUAUUUUUAAUUGGGUUAAGUGUUUUGUUGGGGUGAUGGGAGGAAUAUUUUUAACUCCUCUUUGUUUUUAUAUAUUGAUUUAUAUUUUUUUUGAUCCAUUUAUUUUGAUUAUAAGAUUAAAUUACCUUAGGGAUAACAGCGUUAUCUUCCUUGAGAGUUCUUAUUGGCGGGGAGGUUUGCGACCUCGAUGUUGGAUUAAGGUGAAUUUUUGGUGCAGGAGCUGAAAUGAUUAGGUCUGUUCGACCUUUAAAACCUUACGUGAUCUGAGUUCAGACCGGA
This 558-nucleotide ribosomal RNA is filed under the name Sinocapritermes mushae. RNAcentral's name for it is "partial 16S ribosomal RNA". It matches the Rfam family "Bacterial large subunit ribosomal RNA", at positions 1797 to 2620 of the family's 2925-position model. Lineage: Eukaryota; Metazoa; Arthropoda; Insecta; Blattodea; Termitidae. The record is from RNAcentral.